CUGGCUAAGAUUAAGGAAGUUAAUUUUUUUGUUGUUGUUUCUGCAGAUGCCAUUUCAUCUGUUUGUUUGCAGUGCUGAUAAACAAAGUGUCUCUGGAUGUCACAGUAGAGGCUGUUAUUGGUGGUUCUGUUGUCCUGCCGUGUUCUUCAACUAAACAUGAUCUUAAACUUCAAGACAUUGAUGUGUUUUGGAGAGACAAAGAUAGUGAGACUAUUUAUGAUUUUAUAAAAGGUACAGAUUUUUUAGAGUCACAGGACCCACGGUAUAAGAAUAGAGCGCAAACUUUCCCUGACGAGUAUAAGAGAGGAAAUUUCUCCAUCAAACUCAUCAAUCUCACUCAUGCUGAUGCAGGAGAAUUCAUCUGCUAUAUUACACCCUCAAAUGAACAGGAGACUGUACACCUAAUCAUCAAAGAAUCAACAGCAGAAAAUGACAACCAAUCCACUGAAGAAGCAAACGGAGUACCAAAAACACAAUUAGACUGGUGGCAGAUAUUACUGAUCUGUGUUUGCAUUCUACUUGUAUUAAUUUUGCCUAUAGCCUAUUUCAAAUGGAAGCAGAGAAAAAGAACUCCAGCUCCCAUAUAGAAGGAACAGUGGAAAACUGGAAGUUUUAUUAGGCCCAAUCCC
Molecule: long non-coding RNA, 629 nt
Organism: Sinocyclocheilus anshuiensis
Lineage: Eukaryota; Metazoa; Chordata; Actinopteri; Cypriniformes; Cyprinidae
Exons: 3
Source: RefSeq, a predicted model, not a curated record